This 306-nucleotide ribosomal RNA is filed under the name Triticum aestivum (bread wheat). Its description in RNAcentral is "partial small subunit ribosomal RNA". The record is from RNAcentral. Lineage: Eukaryota; Viridiplantae; Streptophyta; Magnoliopsida; Poales; Poaceae.
AUGUGGUCCCUGGAGGGGGCCAAAGAGGUGCUAGGCAAGUUCUGCAUCAUCGACCGGCUCGACAGCCACACCUUUGAGCGCCGAGACACGCGCACGUUCGCCUGCUGGGUGUGGGUGUGGAACCUCACGGACAUCCCCACCCGCCACUGCCUUUCCAGCUUCGAGGAGGGGGCUGGCCGCAUGACGGAGAUGCUGGGCUACUCGCCACCGCUCAGGGCUAACCGCGUCGUCCCGCCACCCCCUGAGGGGGAGCGCGGCUCUCUGCUCUUCCACAUCGACCGCAUCGAGGACUGGACACCUCGCGGG